This 86-nucleotide transfer RNA is filed under the name Starmerella bacillaris. RNAcentral describes it as "tRNA-Ser". It matches the Rfam family "tRNA". Rfam says of the family: Transfer RNA (tRNA) molecules are approximately 80 nucleotides in length. Lineage: Eukaryota; Fungi; Ascomycota; Dipodascomycetes; Dipodascales; Trichomonascaceae. The record is from RNAcentral.
GGAAAAGAAAUCAUUGGUUAGAUAGAUUUAUUGCUAUUAAAUUUGGUUAUAUUAUACCUGUGUAAGUUCGAAUCUUACCUUUUCUG